Aegilops tauschii subsp. strangulata is the source of this 1815-nucleotide long non-coding RNA. RefSeq lists it as uncharacterized. The record is from RefSeq and is a predicted model, not a curated record. NCBI's taxonomy places the organism in Eukaryota, Viridiplantae, Streptophyta, Magnoliopsida, Poales, Poaceae.
UUCUGGGUUCCUAUUCGUCAUCGGUUUGUGCGUCGGUUGCUGUUGGGCCAAUCGUUGUGUCGCAAUCUGGUCCUGUCGCUGUUGUUGCGUGCGUGCCGCUGUUGCCUCGGUGGGUCUUUCUUUCGUUACGUGCUGUUUUGUUUCUUUCCGAUGGAGCGGUGCCGCUUUGCAGCGUUGGUUCGGGAGUCCGCUAGAUCGAUGCCGCUUUUCUGCGUUCCUUCAUCUGGAGGAUUCUUUAGCUUUUCAUGAAUAGACUUCCACCGUCGUCCACCGCCCACCGCCCACCGAUCCAUCGUCGCUGCUCUACAAGCUAUAAAAGGAUCUCCUCGGUGUCCCUCCAUUAGCAUCGUCUCCACGGCCCUUGCUCGAUCUCUAUAGAAGUUGUGUUCUUCUGUUUCUUUUCACUCACCACAAUCAAGCCAUACGGGGAGCGCAACCGUUGAAAAAGGCGAGCAGGCGAGGUUGAUCUUGAUGGCGUCCAACUCCUCGCCGGCAAGGCCGUCCCAUGGGGAGCGCCGCCUGUCUCUCCCCAGGCACGCGGCCUGUCCUCUCCAGCGUUGGUUCUCCAUCCCUCUGCCUCCCGGUAUGUGGGACACGCUGUGUCCCUCGCCUCGCACCCUUCUUCUUAAUCAGUCAUGUGCAAGGGAGGGCCGGCGGUACGGUUUGGCUUUGGAAGUCGGCCAUCAAAUCCUGCUAUACAACGCUGGUGAGAUGCAACACCAAAUAUUUGAGUAGCGGCCAUGGUGGCUGCAGGGCCCCGACCUGCUCUUCGAUCCUUUUCUCUUCUUUUUCUUCUGAGAUGGAAUGGUGCUCUGUACGCCGCAUCCCCGAGCAUGCCCUACCAUGGUCGGAUCCUAGCGGUCUGCGGCCUUCCUUGACGAGCGGCGUCACGGUCCAUGGCGUUGGUGGAGGCGACGAUCGAGACGGCGGGCAGAGACAACACGGAACCCUGGAUGUUGUGCACCUGGCAAUGAGGAUCACGACCGACGAGCGGAUGGACGACAAUACCGCGGAGCUAUUGCUCUGCGACCAGCUGCUAUUAGCGCCACCCGGUAGUUAAUGCCGGCCACCCGCCACGCGCCUCGCGCUGCGUAGUUUUGGUAACCUCGAGCGCCUGUAGCUCUUCACCCAUGGCAUGAAGUUGGAGCGGGCAAAGCUCCAGCGGUUCGCCUUCUCCCUGUCUGCACAGGAGAAGCAGGACCUACGGGAGAUGAUCUCUAGACACUGCAGGAAUUCAUAUGGACCGCCACCAAUUUUAUUUGAAGAUAACCGUGAAAUGCAUACAGAAGAAACUAAAAAGAUAGAAGUAUACAGAGAUCAUUGAUUCUCAUAGUCACUUACCCACCAAGAAAUCUACAUGAUAGUUUCUUUUGUAAAAUGUAUAUAAUUUUGUUUUUAUUUCUCACAGUUUGUUUAUUUCCGUUGCCUUAUCUUCAGUUAAGCACGUAUUUUUUUAGAAGUUAACCGGAUCUUAGUAUCCUCUUUAUGUACAGGCCAAGUAAAUUUUAUAGGUUCAAUUAUUAAUUGUUGCACAUAGUUGGAUUUGUUUCUAAGUUCUGCUUUAUUCUAUAACAGUAGGGAUGUAGUUCUCCAGAGUUCAGUGCUAUGAUUAAGUAAUUCAUGUAAUGAGUAAAUAGGUGACACUCAAAUUGUCAGAAUGUGCUUAGUGUAGUACAUAAAUAAUCCUACAGAUGAGUUACUUGUAUAGCACUUUCUGUGGAUUGCAGGUUUGUAAUGCUUAUUGUGUUUCUAGGUCUGUACAGCACGUAGGAUCUUGCAAAGAGAGAUAAUUUUGAAGUUAUUUCGUAUUUGCUA